AAAUCAUACAGAGUUCUACAUUAAUACACAGGUCUUUGGUGGCUGGAUACAACAGACUGCACUUCUUGCCUGGCAGCAUAAAGAGGUUGCACUUGGAUUCCUUGGAUUUAGCUCCUAAUUCAUUUGAAUCUUUAAAUAUGAGAAAUGCAAAUAAUCUGGGAGUUCUUAGUCUUCUGGAGUGUGCUGCAAGAAAAGUUAUCGAAUGCAGGUUAUUCUACUCCCCAGAAAUCAUUCCAAGAAGUCUAGUAUUCUAUCUAGAUAAUGCUCAUUACUGUGUUUGUGGAUCUGCUUGUUUUGAGGUGUUCUUGAGAAAACAUGUUCCUCUCCAAUUAAACCACAUAGCCAAUACUGUAAUCUUGUCUCACAAUGCUGACACCAUUGUGCCAACUGACACAUUUUUCUGUUCCCAUAAAUGUGUUAAUAUGUGAUGGAAGUUGACCAGCACUGAAAUAAUGUACUUUAAAACCCCACUUUUGUGUAAGAACUUGGCAAAACACAUUGCCCAAUAAAUCAGUAUUUUAUAUGGAAGUGAUUUUAGUGAACAAAUAUAUGUAUUGUGGUUGGACAUUAUGCUUAGAGGGCAUAUAUGUUAUUACUGUACAAAGUUCAAUGUUUGUUGACUUGCCUUCUAAGCAAAAUAAAGUAUUUUUGUGCAUAAUA
This is a non-coding RNA of Zootermopsis nevadensis, 660 nucleotides long. The record is from RefSeq and is a predicted model, not a curated record. NCBI's taxonomy places the organism in Eukaryota, Metazoa, Arthropoda, Insecta, Blattodea, Termopsidae.